Molecule: ribosomal RNA, 466 nt
Filed under: uncultured bacterium
Lineage: Bacteria
Description: partial 16S ribosomal RNA
Rfam family: Bacterial small subunit ribosomal RNA
Source: RNAcentral
GAUGAACGCUGGCGGCGUGCUUAACACAUGCAAGUCGAACGAUUAAGCCCUGCUUGUUGGGUGGUUUAGUGGCGAACGAGUGAGUAACACGUGGGUAACCUCCCCUUAACCCUUUGAUAAUCCUGGCAAACUGGGUCUACUACCACAGAGUGUCGUCCCCCGGACGGUGGGUGUUGGAAAGAUUUAUCGGUUUUGGUUGGAUUCGCGGGGUAUCAGCUCUUUGGUGGGGUAAUGGUGCACGAGGGCGACGGCGGGUCGCCGGCCUGAGAGGGUGACCGGCACCACUGGGACUGCGACACGGCCCAGCCUCCUGCGGGAGGCAGCAGUGGGGAAUAUUGCAAAACGGGCGCAAGCCUGAUGCAGCGGCGCCGCGUGAGGGAUGACGGCCUUUGGGUGGUAAACCUCUUUCUGCAGGGAAGAAGCGAGAGGGACGGUACCGGGUGAAGAAGCACCGGCUAACUACGUG